This 468-nucleotide ribosomal RNA is filed under the name uncultured bacterium. RNAcentral's name for it is "partial 16S ribosomal RNA". It matches the Rfam family "Bacterial small subunit ribosomal RNA", at positions 28 to 507 of the family's 1533-position model. The record is from RNAcentral.
GACGAACGCUGGCGGCGUGCUUAACACAUGCAAGUCGAACGGAAAGGCCCUGCUUUUGUGGGGUGCUCGAGUGGCGAACGGGUGAGUAACACGUGAGUAACCUGCCCUUGACUUUGGUAUAACUUCAGGAAACUGGGGCUAAUACCGGAUAGGAGCUCCUGCUGCAUGGUGGGGGUUGGAAAGUUUCGGCGGUUGGGGAUGGACUCGCGGCUUAUCAGCUUGUUGGUGGGGUAGUGGCUUACCAAGGAUUUGACGGGUAGCCGGCAUGAGAGGGUGACCGGCCACAUUAGGACUGAGAUACGGCCCAGUGUCCUACGGGAGGCAGCAGUGGGAAAUAUUGCACAAUGGGCGGAAGCCUGAUGCAGAAACGCCGCGUGCGGGAUGACGGCCUUCGGGUUGUGAACCGCUUUCGCCUGUGACGAAGCGUGAGUGACGGUAAUGGGUAAAGAAGCACCGGCUAACUACGUG